UUUCCGUAGGUGAACCUGCGGAAGGAUCAUUAAAAAAUUGGACUCCAUUGGUGAGUUCAUUAAUAAUCCCUACCCUUUGUGAAUUUGUUUGUUUGAAUAAUUUUUUUUCCAAAAAAAAUUAUUGAAUGUCUUUCCCUGUUUUGGUGGAGCUUGUAAAGUGAAACCAGGCAGGGGAAUGGCAAACAAUAAUUAUUUUUGAAAAAGACCUUUUUUUAAAAUUAAACUUUUUGUAUUCAUUUGUCUAAAAUUAUUUUAUAAUAUAAAAACAACUUUUGACAAUGGAUCUCUUGGUUCUCGCAACGAUGAAGAACGCAGCAAAAUGCGAUAAGUAGUGUGAAUUGCAGAAUACGUGAAUCAUCGAAUCUUCGAACGCAUAUUGCACUUUUUUAGUUUACUAAAAAAGUAUGUCUGUUUGAGUAUCAGUAAAAUAUUCUCAUAAAAAACAUUGUUUUUUUAUGGUUAUGAGUGUUUUACAACGAUAACAAGUUGUUUCACUUUAAAUUCUUUGUUAUCAAAAAAUCAUUAAAAGCUAAUUUUAAAGAUUUUUUAAAAUUGGAUAAAAUUUUCCCGUAAAAAGGAAUAACCUAAACAAUUUUAAAAAAUUAAAAUUGGUUUGAUUUUUUUUGAAACCCAAAGGAAAAAAAACGAAAUUAACUUGAUCUCAAAUCAGAUAAGAGUACCCGCUGAACUUAAGCAUAUCAAUAAGCGGAGGAAAAGAAACUAACUAGGAUUCCCUCAGUAACGGCGAGUGAAGCGGGAAGAGCUCAAAUUUGAAAUCUUCAAGGUUUUACCUUGACGAAUUGUAGUUUAAAGAAGUGUUUUCUGUUGGAGUUUUGGUAAAAGUUCUUUGGAAAAGGACAUCAUAGAGGGUGAGAAUCCCGUAUUUGACCAUUAUCUCCAGCUUUGUGAUACACUUUCAAAGAGUCGGAUUGUUUGGGAAUGCAGUCCAAAAUGGGUGGUAAAUUUCAUCUAAAGCUAAAUACUGGCGAGAGACCGAUAGCGAACAAGUACCGUGAGGGAAAGAUGAAAAGAACUUUGAAAAGAGAGUUAAACAGUACGUGAAAUUGUCAAAAGGGAAGCGUUUGACACCAGUGUUGUUUUCUCGAAAAUCAAUUAAAAAAGGCCGGAUUUUGUGUUGUAUUGACUUUAUCAGCUUCUGCACUUUUUUCUUGUCUUUUUUAAUGCACUUUUCGUUUAACAAGUCAACAUCAAUUUCUUUUGUUGUAAAAGGGUCAUUGGAAGGUGGCUUUCUUUUCGGAGAAAGUGUUUAUAGCCUUUGGCCUCUGCAAUCGGAGAGAUUGAGGUCUGCAGCGCAGAUCCUUCGGGUUAGAUACAUUUGUGCUAAGUUAUAGCCUUUCAUAGACAACUUGUUGACUAUGAUCAGUCAUGUAGCUUACUCGCUAUGCUAUUU
Molecule: unclassified non-coding RNA, 1411 nt
Filed under: uncultured Neocallimastigales
Lineage: Eukaryota; Fungi; Neocallimastigomycota; Neocallimastigomycetes; Neocallimastigales
Description: partial contains small subunit ribosomal RNA, internal transcribed spacer 1, 5.8S ribosomal RNA, internal transcribed spacer 2, and large subunit ribosomal RNA
Rfam family: Eukaryotic large subunit ribosomal RNA (bases 657-1411)
Source: RNAcentral